Molecule: non-coding RNA, 28 nt
Filed under: Homo sapiens (human)
Lineage: Eukaryota; Metazoa; Chordata; Mammalia; Primates; Hominidae
Source: RNAcentral
GAGGAAGUGGUUUUGCUGUUUUGUGUCU